AUACGGAGGAUGCGAGCGUUAUCCGGAUUUAUUGGGUUUAAAGGGAGCGUAGGCGGGAGCUUAAGUCAGCGGUUAAAUGGUGCGGCUCAACCGUGCCCUGCCGUUGAAACUGGGUUUCUUGAGAGUGCAAGAGGCGGAUGGAAUUCGUUGUGUAGCGGUGAAAUGCAUAGAUAUGACGAAGAACACCGAUUGCGUAGGCAGCUGACCAGACCGCAAAUGACGCUCAUGCACGAAAGUGCGGGGAUCGAACAGGAUUAGAUACCCUGGUAGUCCGCACAGUAAACGAUGAAUACUUGUUUUCGGCGAUAUAAUGUCGGAGGCAAAGCGAAAGCGAUAAGUAUUCCACCUGGGGAGUACGCCGGCAACGGUGAAACUCAAAGGAAUUGGCGGGG
RNAcentral lists this ribosomal RNA (392 nucleotides) under uncultured bacterium. RNAcentral describes it as "partial 16S ribosomal RNA". It matches the Rfam family "Bacterial small subunit ribosomal RNA", at positions 523 to 918 of the family's 1533-position model. The record is from RNAcentral.